AGGACGAGAGGAGCGAGGAGCGCGGUUUUUGACCCAGAUCCGGAGCGUGCGCGGGAACAGCGGCAGGCUCAAGCCCACGGCCGGGCCCCACCCUACCGACAGUGCAGCACGCCUGCGACUUAACUCUGGAGUCGCUGGCGCCCCAGCUAGGACUCGCCGGGCACAGAGAGGUACCAGGAGCCACCUGGACACUCACCGAGUGAAGGAGGGGAGCCCUCGCUCACCCGGUCUGAAAUGAAUCACCAGAUGUGUGCAGGAGAGGUACCUCUGCACCCGGUACCAGAGGCCGCGGGAAUGAUGUCUGCG
Long non-coding RNA from Molossus molossus (Pallas's mastiff bat), 306 nucleotides. RefSeq lists it as uncharacterized. The transcript is spliced from 3 exons. NCBI's taxonomy places the organism in Eukaryota, Metazoa, Chordata, Mammalia, Chiroptera, Molossidae. The record is from RefSeq and is a predicted model, not a curated record.